UUGUCAAAUUCAUACAGGUCUCCGGUGGAACUGCAAUAAAAAGCUUAACUUUUUACUUCUCUGAUUAUUUGUGGUAUGGUUGUAAGAAAAGCAUCCCUUUCGAGUGAGCUAAGCUGCUCAUAUUUUCCGAAAAAACAAAAGUUGAUCAUACUUUCAAAUGGAGAAAGUCCUAAAUGACCGGCGAUGUAAAUCUUAUUAUUUCUGAGGUCUCGGGCAUCUUCGUUCUUAUCGCCGUCCAUUUUCCUUCCAUUGACUGGCUUCCACGUGGAAGUUUAUUAUUGGCAAAUGUUAAAAUCGCUCCGAGAUGGAUGGGGCCCACUUUUGGUGUCCAUGCUUCCUGAGGAAUAUCCGGCUGCCACGUGGGAAUCUGAUGGAAUCUCUUUGCCGCACUCUCGUCGAUAUCGACAUUUCAGCACGGGCGGCCCACCGUUCUAUCAAAAAACAACGGUCAUGACCUUCCGUUGAACUACCGGAUGACUUCGUUGAGCGCCAUGUUGGUGCUAUGAGCAGGUUGUUUUUGGUAGAGUUUGUCAUCAAAUCAAUAUUGCGAGUUAAUCAAGUCAUAUUUUAUACAAAAGAAUGAAUCAACGUCAGAUUGGUAGCACAUAGCAUGACAUUUAUGAUGUGCCAAGGAUUUAAAUAAGGGGCAUUUACAUACAUAC
This is a long non-coding RNA of Phalaenopsis equestris, 662 nucleotides long. RefSeq lists it as uncharacterized. The transcript has 4 exons. The record is from RefSeq and is a predicted model, not a curated record. NCBI's taxonomy places the organism in Eukaryota, Viridiplantae, Streptophyta, Magnoliopsida, Asparagales, Orchidaceae.